Long non-coding RNA from Mauremys reevesii (Reeves's turtle), 335 nucleotides. RefSeq lists it as uncharacterized. NCBI's taxonomy places the organism in Eukaryota, Metazoa, Chordata, Testudines, Geoemydidae. The transcript is spliced from 3 exons. The record is from RefSeq and is a predicted model, not a curated record.
GACCAGAGGAGUAAGGAAGGGUGCUCCUUGCUGGAAGAUGGGUUCUGGUGGCAUUGGCAUUUGCUGAGGAAACAGAGGAGUUGAGAACUUGAGCCUGGAGGUUCUUAUUCUGUGCCUGCCACCAUGGUAUCUAAGAGCCUUCCAGAAGUGAAUUAAGUGACAUGAGUAUCAGUUGUCAUGUGUGGGUUUCUUCCCCCGACCCCCACUUCUAUUUCUGCUACUACUGACAAGGGCUUACAGAUCAUUCUGAAGACACAUGAAAAUGACAACCCUUGACUACAUAUUACUUUCUGUUAUGAAAUAUUUACUAAUAAAUACAGUAAAAUACCAUACCA